UCCCUGGUGGUCCAGUGGCUCAGACUCUGCACUCCCAAUGCAGGAGGCUUGGGUUCGAUCCCUGGUCAGGUAA
This is a non-coding RNA of Bos taurus (domestic cattle), 73 nucleotides long. Lineage: Eukaryota; Metazoa; Chordata; Mammalia; Artiodactyla; Bovidae. The record is from Rfam.